Molecule: non-coding RNA, 241 nt
Organism: Rattus norvegicus (Norway rat)
Lineage: Eukaryota; Metazoa; Chordata; Mammalia; Rodentia; Muridae
Source: RefSeq, a predicted model, not a curated record
CAAAAAUUUCCAUUCGUGGCUUGUAGUGUCAUUAAUCAGCAAUUAGGGGAAAGGCCAUGAAGGGCAGAGAAAAACUAAGUACAUUUAAACUGAAAAGGUUGGUAAGGCUCUGUGAAGAAUCUUACCUGUCAUUGACUGCCAGCCUGCUAAAUUAAUGACUCUGACUGGGGAUCCGUUUUUAGUUUCAAGCCAUGCAUUUUGGAUGCCACCAUGUUCAUGUCAUUAAAGGCAAGUUUUAUCA